This 241-nucleotide ribosomal RNA is filed under the name uncultured Actinomycetales bacterium. RNAcentral's name for it is "partial 16S ribosomal RNA". It matches the Rfam family "Bacterial small subunit ribosomal RNA", at positions 89 to 334 of the family's 1533-position model. Lineage: Bacteria; Bacillati; Actinomycetota; Actinomycetes; Actinomycetales. The record is from RNAcentral.
ACUCGAGUGGCGAACGGGUGAGUAACACGUGGGUGAUCUGCCCUGCACUUCGGGAUAAGCCUGGGAAACUGGGCCUAAUACCGGAUAGGAGCCAUUUUUAGUGUGAUGGUUGGAAAGUUUUUCGGUGUAGGAUGAGCUCGCGGCCUAUCAGCUUGUUGGUGGGGUAAUGGCCUACCAAGGCGGCGACGGGUAGCCGGCCUGAGAGGGUGGACGGCCACAUUGGGACUAAGAUACGGCCCAG